AGAAAGUGUGGUCAAGCAUUGGAAGAGGUUGCCCAAGAAAGUGUGGAAUGAAUCCCUGUCCCUGGAAGUGUUCAAAAAGCAUGCUGGUGUGCUGCUGAGGGAGGGACAUGGUUAAGUGGUGGACCUGGCAGUGCUGGGUUAACUGUGGGACUCAGUCCUGAUGGUCUUUUCCAGCCUUAAUGGUUACACGAUUCUGUGGGGAGGGACGAGCUUCCCACACCUUCAGCAGCGCUGGGGGCUGCUGCUGCACAGAGCAGAGCAGUGCGGGGAGAGGCAUGGCAACCUUAGCUGGGGGACUGGCAAAGAUUUCCUUGUGAUUUAGACUUGUCAAGGCAAGGCUUUGUGCCUUUGUUUUCACAGGAAGUUUCUGAUUCCCAGUUGUCGCUUACUGCUGUUAAAAGGGAGGAAAGUGACUCAUGGAGUUUCCUAUUGGCCUGAGGAGAUAUGCAGGGAAAUUACUUACCAGGGACUCUGCCCAGACAGCUGAGCGCCUGGCAGCGAGGGAGAAAUCAGGCAGAGAGGUCUCAGAUUCAUUAUCGUGGCUGCAAAUUAAUUGCCUGAACCAGUAAUGCACAGAAACACCUUUCUCCUGGGCACAUGAAGUGGAUGAAAUGAUGCUCUUCAAGUUUAAUUUUAGUUUGUCUAACAAGUUCUGACACUGGGAAUGAAAAAGCGGACAGUGGCAGUAGACACAGUUGCUUGUACUCUCCAGCCACACAGCCCUUGCCUACGUGACUGUCAUGAGCAUUCCAGCCCUGGUUCCUGCUUGGGCUUCCCCCAUGGAAGACAAGGAGUCCUCACUGUGCUCAGAUGCCAAGGCGAGAAAUACCUCCCUAUCAAUAAACAUGUUUCCAAAACUCAGCACCCAGGAAUCCCUCACAUCCCUAAUUGCCCUGAUGCCAUGAGAUGAUUUGAGAUGAUAAAAAUGCACCCACGGGAGCACACACAUGUGCAGAUGAACACAGCACAGGGUGCAAAAGGUUUGGGACUUUGCUUAGUUUUAUUUCAUGUGGUUUAAUUUGAUGCUACAAUGAGAACAGACAUUUGAUUUUUUUUUUUUAAUCAAAGGACAAUACAAAGGAAAUAUUUUAAUAGAGAAGAAGUGUAUAUGUUUUGCUC
This 1119-nucleotide long non-coding RNA is filed under the name Cyanistes caeruleus (blue tit). RNAcentral describes it as "lncRNA (ENSCCEG00000001292.1)". Lineage: Eukaryota; Metazoa; Chordata; Aves; Passeriformes; Paridae. The record is from RNAcentral.